AGAUUAAGUUAUUAAGGGCGCACGGUGGAUGCCUUGGCACUAGAAGCCGAUGAAGGACGUUACUAACGACGAUAUGCUUUGGGGAGCUGUAAGUAAGCAUUGAUCCAGAGAUUUCCGAAUGGGGAAACCCAGCACGAGUUAUGUCGUGUUAUCUGCAUGUGAAUACAUAGCAUGCAAGAAGGCAGACCCGGAGAACUGAAACAUCUUAGUACCCGGAGGAAGAGAA
Molecule: ribosomal RNA, 226 nt
Filed under: Staphylococcus delphini
Lineage: Bacteria; Bacillati; Bacillota; Bacilli; Caryophanales; Staphylococcaceae
Description: partial 23S ribosomal RNA
Rfam family: Bacterial large subunit ribosomal RNA
Source: RNAcentral